CAGUUGGCCUUUCAGCAGCAUUUGACAGGGGAAACUGCAGAUGAAAAGGCUCUGAGAUGGGGGACAAUCUUGGUGAAUUCAAGAAACAGAAAAAAAAAAUGUUGGUGUAAUUAGAACACAGAGCUGCGAAGGCAGUGGUCUGUGAGGGCCAAAUCACAUUAUGGCACCUUUCAACUGGAAUGAAGCUUCAGACCAGCUGCAAACCACACAAACAAAGUCAGACUGCAGAAGCAGCCCUUUGGAUUCCUGAAGUGACAUCGGAGACCUAAGGCAGGUCCAAGAUAAUAAAGCAUGGAGCAGAUGUAGGGAUCAAGCAGAGCCACAUUCCUGCAUGAGCCGGACUUCCAGAAGGUGCUUGGCUGAGCUGGAGGCUCUCGUCCCAUCAUCCUUUUCCUC
Molecule: long non-coding RNA, 396 nt
Organism: Callithrix jacchus (white-tufted-ear marmoset)
Lineage: Eukaryota; Metazoa; Chordata; Mammalia; Primates; Cebidae
Source: Ensembl